RNAcentral lists this ribosomal RNA (774 nucleotides) under uncultured Neocallimastigales. RNAcentral's name for it is "partial large subunit ribosomal RNA". It matches the Rfam family "Eukaryotic large subunit ribosomal RNA", at positions 24 to 640 of the family's 3401-position model. The record is from RNAcentral. Lineage: Eukaryota; Fungi; Neocallimastigomycota; Neocallimastigomycetes; Neocallimastigales.
UAUGUGAUCGUCUCUCGCAUAUCAAUAAGCGGAGGAAAAGAAACUAACAAGGAUUCCCCUAGUAACGGCGAGUGAAGCGGGAAGAGCUCAAAUUUGAAAUCUUAAAGGGUUUCCCUUUACGAAUUGUAGUUUAAAGAAGUGUUUUCUGUUGAGGUUUUGGUAAAAGUUCUUUGGAAUAGGACAUCAUAGAGGGUGAGGAUCCCGUAUUUGACCUUUACCCUCAACUUUGUGAUACACUUUCAAAGAGUCGGAUUGUUUGGGAAUGCAGUCCAAAAUGGGUGGUAAAUCUCAUCUAAAGCUAAAUAUUGGCGAGAGACCGAUAGCGAACAAGUACCGUGAGGGAAAGAUGAAAAGAACUUUGAAAAGAGAGUUAAACAGUACGUGAAAUUGUCAAAAGGGAAGCGUUUGACACCAGUGUUGUUUUUCUGAAAAUCAAUUAAAGAACUGUUUAUGCUAAGCUGUUUAGACUUUAUCAGCUAUCUGUUUAGUUUUGAGCUUUUCUUUAAUGCACUUUUCAGUUAACAAGUCAACAUCAAUUUCUUUUGCUGUAAAAAAGCUUGAGGAAGGUGGCUUGAGAUUCGUCUUAAGUGUUUAUAGCCUCUUGCCUAUGCAGUCGGAGAGAUUGAGGUCUGCAGCGUAGAUCCUUCGGGGCUAAAUGCAUUUGUGCUAAGUUAUAGCAUUUUAUAGACAACUUGUUGACUAUGAUUUGUCUUGUAGCUUACUCGCUUAUGUUAUUUUACCUACGCUUAGGAUGUUGAUAUGCAUGACUGAUAU